Molecule: non-coding RNA, 102 nt
Organism: Pelobates cultripes (western spadefoot toad)
Lineage: Eukaryota; Metazoa; Chordata; Amphibia; Anura; Pelobatidae
Source: the annotation of a GenBank genome assembly
UGCCGUGAUGUUGUAAUUUGCGUCCUACUCUGCAUCAUGCGACAGUUGCCUGCUGUCAUUAUGCUGGUGUGGAUGGCUGUUGAAAAACUUGAAUACUGAGCA